RNAcentral lists this ribosomal RNA (433 nucleotides) under uncultured bacterium. RNAcentral's name for it is "partial 16S ribosomal RNA". It matches the Rfam family "Bacterial small subunit ribosomal RNA", at positions 29 to 507 of the family's 1533-position model. The record is from RNAcentral.
AACGAACGCUGGCGGCAGGCCUAACACAUGCAAGUCGAGCGAGGACUUCGGUCCUAGCGGCGGACGGGUGAGUAACGCGUGGGAACGUGCCCUUUGCUUCGGAAUAGCCCUGGGAAACUGGGAGUAAUACCGGAUGAGCCCUUUGGGGGAAAGAUUUAUCGGCGAAGGAUCGGCCCGCGUUGGAUUAGGUAGUUGGUGGGGUAAUGGCCUACUAAGCCGACGAUCCAUAGCUGGUUUGAGAGGAUGAUCAGCCACACUGGGACUGAGACACGGCCCAGACUCCUACGGGAGGCAGCAGUGGGGAAUCUUAGACAAUGGGGGAAACCCUGAUCUAGCCAUGCCGCGUGAGCGAUGAAGGCCUUAGGGUUGUAAAGCUCUUUCAGCUGGGAAGAUAAUGACGGUACCAGCAAAAGAAGCCCCGGCUAACUCCGUG